GGGGAAUAUUGGGCAAUGGGGGGAACCCUGACCCAGCAACGCCGCGUGAGUGAAGAAGGUCUUCGGAUCGUAAAGCUCUGUCAUUAGGGAAGAAGGAAGUGACGGUACCUAAUGAGGAAGCCCCGGCUAACUACGUGCCAGCAGCCGCGGUAAUACGUAGGGGGCGAGCGUUGUCCGGAAUUACUGGGCGUAAAGGGCGCGUAGGCGGUUAAUUAAGUCAGAUGUGAAACGCCUCGGCUUAACCGAGGACUGGCAUUUGAAACUGGUUAACUUGAGUGCAGGAGAGGAAAGCGGAAUUCCUAGUGUAGCGGUGAAAUGCGUAGAGAUUAGGAGGAACACCGGUGGCGAAGGCGGCUUUCUGGCCUGCAACUGACGCUGAGGCGCGAAAGCGUGGGGAGCGAACA
Molecule: ribosomal RNA, 404 nt
Filed under: uncultured Bacillota bacterium
Lineage: Bacteria; Bacillati; Bacillota
Description: bacterial SSU rRNA
Rfam family: Bacterial small subunit ribosomal RNA
Source: RNAcentral